UGGGGAAUAUUGCACAAUGGGCGCAAGCCUGAUGCAGCAACGCCGCGUGAGUGAAGAAGGCCUUCGGGUCGUAAAGCUCUGUCCUGUGGGACGAAACAAAUGACGGUACCACAGGAGGAAGCCCCGGCUAACUACGUGCCAGCAGCCGCGGUAAUACGUAGGGGGCAAGCGUUAUCCGGAAUCACUGGGCGUAAAGGGUGCGUAGGUGGUUUUUCAAGUCAGAAGUGAAAGGCAGUGGCUUAACCACUGUAAGCUUUUGAAACUGAAGAACUUGAGUGCAGGAGAGGUAAGUGGAAUUCCUAGUGUAGCGGUGAAAUGCGUAGAUAUUAGGAGGAACACCAGUGGCGAAGGCGACUUACUGGACUGUAACUGACACUGAGGCACGAAAGCGUGGGGAGCG
Molecule: ribosomal RNA, 400 nt
Filed under: uncultured bacterium
Lineage: Bacteria
Description: bacterial SSU rRNA
Rfam family: Bacterial small subunit ribosomal RNA
Source: RNAcentral